RNAcentral lists this small RNA (466 nucleotides) under Malus domestica (apple). RNAcentral describes it as "sRNA MD15G0367600". The record is from RNAcentral. Lineage: Eukaryota; Viridiplantae; Streptophyta; Magnoliopsida; Rosales; Rosaceae.
AAAGUAGGAAAGCUGAACAGAGAGGGGAAUCCUCCUCCUUGUGAAGGAACAAGUUAUAGCAGAGCACCUCCGUUCCUUUUUCUGAGUAAUAGAGAUAGGAAAUCUGCUUCAUGCCUCCUUGUCUGCAAUCAGAUUAGAAGAAAGGGAUUGAGGUUGAUCCAAACCAUCAGGCAAAAGCGCGAUUUCAUUUGCCAAACCUAUGGCAUGCUAAUUAUCAUAUUAGAUUAUAUGCCCUGGACAAACCAAUGCUCUCUCAACUUUACAGAUGCCUAUUUUAACAUAUGAAACAAUUGGACAUCUUGGGUAUAAAUGUUUAAAAGGCAUAUAUGGUAAUUGUCCUAUGUAUGAAAUAUCUAUUAAGGUCUCCAUUUGUUUAACAUUAUCAAACUUGUUGCACAUGUUUGUAGUUGGAACGAUUAUAUAUGUAUAAAACCUGAAAGGGAUGGAAUUGUUUCUUAUUAAGGAU